Alosa sapidissima (American shad) is the source of this 2305-nucleotide long non-coding RNA. RefSeq lists it as uncharacterized. The transcript is spliced from 4 exons. Lineage: Eukaryota; Metazoa; Chordata; Actinopteri; Clupeiformes; Clupeidae. The record is from RefSeq and is a predicted model, not a curated record.
ACACAAUUUAAUUUCUUCGAGCCCACGUUUUAAUUAUUCGUGGGUGCGUUUUAGUAGAUCGAGAUCUCGAAUAUACUAUUGUGACAAAGGGUCUGACAUGAGUGCCAGAUUGACAUUUAGUAAUAAUAGAAUCAGCCAAUCAGAGAGCGCCUCCUCCCGUGCACGCAUGUGAAUGAAGCGUGUACAGUAAUAUUCCAGAAAGUUUGGGGAGAGGUCGCCAUGUUUCACUGUUUAAUCCACAUGCUUAGUUUGUAGUUAUUUCAUGCAUCUUGUGUCUUGUGUGCGUCCAGAACUUGUGAUAUAGAUGCUGGCCGAGAGUGUCUCCUGAAGGGACUUCUACACGGGGGAAGAUCCAGAAAACCUUGUGCAGGAACAUGUGGUUGAGUCCUAUGAUCUCUGGAAGGUGGCUGAACAUUUGGAAUCCAUUUUCAGAAAACCACCAAAGCGUAUCCAUGCAAAUGUUAGUGGCAGUGUGACGGAGUACCAUCACUACAGUUGAGUAUGCGCUCUGACUGCCAUACCAACGGGCCUGGCUCUUUAGUGUUGCGGUCAAACUGCAGGUUUAGUCCCCCAGAGACCCAGAUUCAAGACUAUGUGGGGUCACUGCUCUCUCCCUUCACUACAUAUGGUGUCAGAAGUGGGAUGACUUGCCGUGAGGUCAUCAGAAGCUUGCUCAAUGUGUGAGCUGUAUGAGGGACCCCUAUGAUAGGUUGUCCCCGGUGUGAGGGACCCCUAUGAUAGGUUGUCCCCGGUGUGAGGGACCCCUAUGAUAGGUUGUCCCCGGUGUGAGGGACCCCUAUGAUAGGUUGUCCCCGGUGUGAGGGACCCCUAUGAUAGGUUGUCCCCGGUGUGAGGGACCCCUAUGAUAGGUUGUCCCCGGUGUGAGGGACCCCUAUGAUAGGUUGUCCCCGGUGUGAGGGACCCCUGAGAUGGGUGAAGCAUGUGUGAGUUUGCUUUUAUGUGAAACAUUCGAGGUCUAGUAGUGUAGUGAAAAAUAGGUUACAUUUGUUGAAACAAAUGUAACAAAUGUUUCAAUGUGUUACUAUACCGCAAAUGUUACUAACAAUUUAAAUUUCACAACUUGACCUAUAAGAAUAUGAAUUGAAGUGCUGACAAAAAGCAUGUUCGGCCUGGUAAUUGGCCGUGGUCCUGGCAUGCCUAUAGCGGAGGACAGUGGGGAGGAGACAAUGGAGGAGGUGGGAUGUUUUGCAAUGCCAUAAUGCAUGAUGCUGUCACAGCCAUGCCAGGUUCCCCAGUAGCCACACCCAGUCACUCACCUUAAGACUCAACUAAUCCCUCAGCCACGCCCAUCAAUCAGUCUCAGCCACGCCCAUCAAUCAGUACCUCACAGCUCAUGUCUCCUGUUCACUUUCCCCUGAGUACUGAAUUCCCUUCACCUGUGUUGCUCUGGACUCUAUUUUUAGCCCUAUUUUUACCCCACUUCCCCAGUACUCGGUGUCUGGUCUCAUCAGUGUAUGACACAAGAACUCUGUGCUCCUGAAUUCCCACGUUUACGCCAGUUACUGUCGGGAAACUCCAGUUACGUUUAUUCAUCUGUUUGGACUACCUUGUGACUUGAACUCUUUUAUGCUGUUUCCUGUUGUUUCCCAUGGGGCUCAGAGGGCAGCUGACCCUCUGGACUCAUCCUCACAGCCUCUACUAACAUCAAGACCAGUGAGUUCAGUCUUACUGGACGCUACCUCCACUGAGAAUGCAACAGGAGACAAUGUUGCCGCCACCUUGUUCCACAGGAUGGCCUUGUCUUAGAAUUGCGGGCUGUGCCUUUAACAAGGACUGGCAACUGUUCUAGAGCUUUGGGGUGUAAACUUAGAAUUAUUCGAUUUAAAAGAGACUGAGAGUUGUGACUUGAGUCUUCUAAGGUUAAGGCAAAGAUUAGGUAUGCAAAACACUAGAGAUAGGCCUAGGCCACAUGACAAAAUGACAAGUCAAGGUAAUGACAUGUGACUUAUUUACCUUAAGACAGUAGCGUACCAAAUAGACAUGAACAGAAAAAAGAUCUGAAUUCUGAAAAAGCUUUGAAUCUCAUUUGGCAUGAUACCACCUUAAUACAUUAUAUUACCUAAGAAACUAUCACAUACUGUAACCUAAGAAAAGAAAUACACACAGAGCAGCAACAGAGCCUGACCAAAACAUUGAGCAAUCUUUAUUUAUUCUCUAAAAUAAAUCAACAUGCAAAAUUAAUUGAAGUAUGUUUUAGUCCCUUGUCAUUUGCCUUAUGCAUUAUAGGCAAAUCAGAGGUUUAGUCUGAAUGAGAACAUACUUACUUACUACCUUACUACCAGGU